GACGAACGCUGGCGGCGUGCUUAACACAUGCAAGUCGAACGGAAAGGCCCUGCUUUUGUGGGUUGCUCGAGUGGCGAACAUGUGUGUAACACGUGAGUAACCUGCCCUUGACUUUGGGAUAACUUCAGGAAACUGGGGCUAAUACCGGAUAGGAGCUCCUGCUGCAUGGUGGGGGUUGGAAAGUUUCGGCGGUAGGGGAUGGACUCGCGGCUUAUCAGCUUGUUGGUGGGGUAGUGGCUUACCAAGGCGUUGAAGGGUAGCCGGCCUGAGAGGGUGACCGGCGCCAAUGGGACUGAGAGACGGAGCAGACGGCUACGGGAGGCAGCAGUGGGGAAUAUUGCCCAAUGGGCGGAAGCCUGAUGAAGAGACGCCGGGGGCGGGAUGACGGCCUUCGGGUUGUAAACCGCUUUCGGCUGUGACGAAGCGUGAGUGACGGUAAUGGGUAAAGAAGCACCGGCUAACUACGUG
This 468-nucleotide ribosomal RNA is filed under the name uncultured bacterium. RNAcentral's name for it is "partial 16S ribosomal RNA". It matches the Rfam family "Bacterial small subunit ribosomal RNA", at positions 28 to 507 of the family's 1533-position model. The record is from RNAcentral.